AGGGGAUAAUGAUGAUCAUAGCC
This 23-nucleotide non-coding RNA is filed under the name Arabidopsis thaliana (thale cress). Lineage: Eukaryota; Viridiplantae; Streptophyta; Magnoliopsida; Brassicales; Brassicaceae. The record is from RNAcentral.